UACGUAGGUCACAAGCGUUAUCCGGAAUUAUUGGGCGUAAAGAGUGAGCAGGCGGUACGGCAAGUCUGGAGUGAAAGCGUGGGGCUUAACCCCAUACAGCUUUGGAAACUACCGAACUAGAGUGCGUGAGAGGUAAACGGAACUCCAUGUGCAGCGGUGAAAUGCGUAGAUAUAUGGAAGAACACCAGUGGCGAAGGCGGUUUACCAGCACUGCACUGACGCUCAGUCACGAAAGCGUGGGGAGCAAAUA
This 250-nucleotide ribosomal RNA is filed under the name uncultured prokaryote. RNAcentral describes it as "partial 16S ribosomal RNA". It matches the Rfam family "Bacterial small subunit ribosomal RNA", at positions 524 to 774 of the family's 1533-position model. The record is from RNAcentral.